UUGCNCUUCGUCUAGUGGCCUAGGACACCGCCCUUUCACGGCGGUAACAGGGGUUCGAGUCCCCUAGGGGACGCCA
RNAcentral lists this transfer RNA (76 nucleotides) under Pseudomonas viridiflava. RNAcentral describes it as "tRNA-Glu". It matches the Rfam family "tRNA". Rfam says of the family: Transfer RNA (tRNA) molecules are approximately 80 nucleotides in length. Their secondary structure includes four short double-helical elements and three loops (D, anti-codon, and T loops). The record is from RNAcentral. Lineage: Bacteria; Pseudomonadati; Pseudomonadota; Gammaproteobacteria; Pseudomonadales; Pseudomonadaceae.